RNAcentral lists this ribosomal RNA (490 nucleotides) under uncultured bacterium. Its description in RNAcentral is "partial 16S ribosomal RNA". It matches the Rfam family "Bacterial small subunit ribosomal RNA", at positions 30 to 507 of the family's 1533-position model. The record is from RNAcentral.
AUUGAACGCUGGCGGCAGGCCUAACACAUGCAAGUCGAACGGUAACAGGAAGCAGCUUGCUGCUUCGCUUACGAGUGGCGGACGGGUGAGUAAUGUCUGGGAAACUGCCUGAUGGAGGGGGAUAACUACUGGAAACGGUAGCUAAUACCGCAUAACGUCGCAAGAGCAAAGAGGGGGACCUUAGGGCCUCUUGCCAUCGGAUGUGCCCAGAUGGGAUUAGCUAGUAGGUGGGGUAACGGCUCACCUAGGCGACGAUCCCUAGCUGGUCUGAGAGGAUGACCAGCCACACUGGAACUGAGACACGGUCCAGACUCCUACGGGAGGCAGCAGUGGGGAAUAUUGCACAAUGGGCGCAAGCCUGAUGCAGCCAUGCCGCGUGUAUGAAGAAGGCCUUCGGGUUGUAAAGUACUUUCAGCGGGGAGGAAGGGAGUAAAGUUAAUACCUUUGCUCAUUGACGUUACCCGCAGAAGAAGCACCGGCUAACUCCGUG